UUGACGCCAGAUUUCGUCACUAGUAGAAUCGGCGCCAAGAAGAGGGGGAAUCGGAGAAGCACAGAUUGGAAUCGGUCAAAUGGUGCUACAGUGUGAGAUCGGCCGGUGACUUCUGUCUUGCUUCGGGUCGAACAUACCAGAAUCCCAAAUCGGUAAUCUUUUGCCGAUGAGGAAUCGGUCGAUUAGGAGGAUGGGCUGAUUGGGCCUGUAUGGGCUUAGAAGGGAAUAGAAGGACGAGGUGGAAAUCAGCCCACGAAGCGUGAAGUAACCAACCUAGCACGAAUCGUGCUUGUAGAUAUUUGUUUUCUGUUUGAAUUAGGGAUAGAAUUCUAGUCGGUUAAGAAGAUAUCUGUACGGGGCUAUAAAUAGCUGCCUUUGUAAAUCUGUAAUCAUCAACCAAUCAAUACAACAAGCUACUUUUUCCUCGUACUUACUUUCAAGCAGGCGACUUCGCUACUACUUUUCUCUUUUUCACGAGUUCGUGCGGGUUGGCAGGGCUGCAUCAUCUUGAUCUCCGGCCGAUUCUGUAA
Molecule: long non-coding RNA, 530 nt
Filed under: Setaria viridis
Lineage: Eukaryota; Viridiplantae; Streptophyta; Magnoliopsida; Poales; Poaceae
Description: long non-coding RNA (SVIR_LNC004038)
Source: RNAcentral